UAGGGAAUUUUUCACAAUGAGCGAAAGCUUGAUGGAGCAAUGCCGCGUGAACGAUGAAGGUCUUUAAGAUUGUAAAGUUCUUUUAUUUGGGAAGAAUGACUUUAGCAGGUAAUGGCUAGAGUUUGACUGUACCAUUUUGAAUAAGUGACGACUAACUAUGUGCCAGCAGUCGCGGUAAUACAUAGGUCGCAAGCGUUAUCCGGAUUUAUUGGGCGUAAAGCAAGCGCAGGCGGAUUGAAAAGUCUGGUGUUAAAGGCAGCUGCUUAACAGUUGUAUGCAUUGGAAACUAUUAAUCUAGAGUGUGGUAGGGAGUUUUGGAAUUUCAUGUGGAGCGGUGAAAUGCGUAGAUAUAUGAAGGAACACCAGUGGCGAAGGCGAAAACUUAGGCCAUUACUGACGCUUAGGCUUGAAAGUGUGGGGAGCAAAUAGGAUUAGAUACCCUAGUAGUCCACACCGUAAACGAUAGAUGCUAGCUGUCGGGGCGAUCCCCUCGGUAGUGAAGUUAACACAUUAAGUAUCUCGCCUGGGUAGUACAUUCGCAAGAAUG
RNAcentral lists this ribosomal RNA (547 nucleotides) under uncultured bacterium. RNAcentral's name for it is "bacterial SSU rRNA". It matches the Rfam family "Bacterial small subunit ribosomal RNA", at positions 355 to 896 of the family's 1533-position model. The record is from RNAcentral.